Molecule: long non-coding RNA, 387 nt
Organism: Mercenaria mercenaria
Lineage: Eukaryota; Metazoa; Mollusca; Bivalvia; Venerida; Veneridae
Exons: 3
Source: RefSeq, a predicted model, not a curated record
AAAAUGUCAGAAAGUAAAUUGUCAAUAUUUUUGUUAUUUUUCAAUCUACAUGGCUGAAAUUUUGACAGUGAAUGGCUGGUAGGCAUAGAAAUCUGUACCUAAAAACCUGAAAUGAGAGCGCUCGGACAAUGUGAAGUUUGUCGCAUAGACGGGGAUUGACCGCCUUUGUACAUAUAUGUCUACAGCUUCUCAGAUUUGACCGAAGACAGUUGUUCGGUGUUGUGAAUGGAUGUUGUUCGGCCGAAGGCCUUCCAGUCACACAGAAGAUCCUGGUUCGGUCACACGAAGGGUCACAUCCAUUGAUAUUAGGGCACUUUCAAAAAAAAUGGCUAAUUUUUUAUAAAGCUCAUAUUUUGUUCAUGUCUUGGGGGAAACAAACAGAUUUGC